This 253-nucleotide ribosomal RNA is filed under the name uncultured bacterium. RNAcentral's name for it is "partial 16S ribosomal RNA". It matches the Rfam family "Bacterial small subunit ribosomal RNA", at positions 524 to 776 of the family's 1533-position model. The record is from RNAcentral.
UACGUAGGGCGCAAGCGUUGUCCGGAAUUAUUGGGCGUAAAGAGCUCGUAGGCGGCUCGUUGCGUCGGCUGUGAAAACCCGCAGCUCAACUGUGGGCUUGCAGCUGAUACGGGCGGGCUGGGAUUCGGUAGGGGAGACUGGAAUUCCUGGUGUAGCGGUGAAAUGCGCAGAUAUCAGGAGGAACACCGAUGGCGAAGGCAGGUCUCUGGGCCACUACUGACGCUGAGAAGCGAAAGCAUGGGGAGCGAACAGG